Non-coding RNA from Malus domestica (apple), 1139 nucleotides. Lineage: Eukaryota; Viridiplantae; Streptophyta; Magnoliopsida; Rosales; Rosaceae. The record is from RefSeq and is a predicted model, not a curated record.
UAAGAGAAUAGCUAUAACCGACUCUUAACCUCCUAUAAAUAGGAGUGCUUUUCAUUCAUUUGAAAGAGGAAAACAGACGGAAGAAGGGAAAAAUAAUUCGAGAGAAAGAGACCAGGAUAGAGAGAGAGAGAGUUGUUUUUCUGUGGUUUCUGUUGAGAGUGAGAGAGCGAUCGAUUGAGUGAGGGAGGGAGGACUGUGGAGUCAGUAGCUUUCUUUGUGUGGGAUUUUAUCAAGGUGGUGAACUCUUGUAAUAGACACUUGGAACAAAUACUUUGGAGUCCAGGUAGGGGAAAUACGGCAAACCUUUAUGGAGAUUGGCUUUAUUAAAUUUCGUGAAGUGUGAUAUUAUCAUUAUCGAUCUUAUUGCUUGAUUAAUGUGAUUUGAUGCUCAUUGAAUAAAUGUUUAUCUUGGGUGUUUACUUAUUAUUUGUUAUGGAAUUAUUGGUGAAAUGCUAUUUGCUGAGAAUAUGUUGUGGUACAUGUGAAUGAUGAAAUAAGAUUAUUUGUGCAUCACUCAUGUGUGAGAUUAGUUGGAAGUUUGGUAUUGAGGAAGAAGUUCUAGAAAUGAGGGUAGUUGGAAAUAUCCUUUGUGUAGUUGAGCCAAACUCUUAGUAGGUACCAAGUCUCAGGCGAGCCCACAGUGCACAUUUUCUUUGAGGGUAAUUCGGGAUUGGCAACGAAGGGUUUUGGCAAGAUGACUAACAAAAGGGGAAAUUGUGAUGAUUGAGUUACAAGGGUUAAUUUGUAUAUUAAAACAUUCUAACUACCAUUGCAGAGGUAAAUGCACGGUAUGGGACGUGCAGGUCCGCGUGUUUUAUUAUAUGAAUUAACGGGUAGAGAUGAAGAGUAUUGCAUUGCACUCAUGCAUUAUUAUUGAUAAUGAUUUGGUGCUUGAUUACAAGAUUUUAUAACACGUAAUUUAGUAUUGUCAAUUAUUAUGAUAAGGUUAUGUCCCUACUGAGCUUUGGUAAAGCUCACCCCUCUCUUGUUAUGCAGGUUUACGAACUAAACAGUUUAAGAGGGUAGACAGGAUGAGAUCGGAUUAAGUGUGAGGAUAGGAUUUUGUAUUUAUUUAUUUUAGUCUUGUAAAGAAUUCUGGAUUUCUUUUUAUAAGAGGAAUUUUAUUUUUCACUCCAUUA